This 603-nucleotide ribosomal RNA is filed under the name Beauveria bassiana. Its description in RNAcentral is "eukaryotic LSU rRNA". Lineage: Eukaryota; Fungi; Ascomycota; Sordariomycetes; Hypocreales; Cordycipitaceae. The record is from RNAcentral.
ARGGGAUCAUUACCGAGUUUACAACUCCCAAACCCAAUGUGAACGUUACCAAACUGUUGCCUCGGCGGGAUCUCUGCCCCGGGUGCGUCGCAGCCCCGGACCAAGGCGCCCGCCGGAGGACCAACCAAAACUCUUUUUGUAUACCCCCUCGCGGGUUUUUUAUAAUCUGAGCCUUCUCGGCGCCUCUCGUAGGCGUUUCGAAAAUGAAUCAAAACUUUCAACAACGGAUCUCUUGGUUCUGGCAUCGAUGAAGAACGCAGCGAAAUGCGAUAAGUAAUGUGAAUUGCAGAAUUCAGUGAAUCAUCGAAUCUUUGAACGCACAUUGCGCCCGCCAGUAUUCUGGCGGGCAUGCCUGUCCGAGCGUCAUUUCAACCCUCGAACCCCUCCGGGGGGUCGGCGUUGGGGAUCGGCCCUGCCUCUUGGCGGCGGCCGUCUCCGAAAUACAGUGGCGGUCUCGCCGCAGCCUCUCCUGCGCAGUAGUUUGCACACUCGCAUCGGGAGCGCGGCGCGUCCACAGCCGUUAAACACCCAACUUCUGAAAUGUUGACCUCGGAUCAGGUAGGAAUACCCGCUGAACUUAAGCAUAUCAAAAGCCSGGAGGAA